GCCUUAAGAAGUUUAAUACAAACGCUGGUCUUGUAAAUCAGAAUAAGGCUAAAGCCCUAAGGCU
This 64-nucleotide transfer RNA is filed under the name Pilsbryoconcha exilis. Its description in RNAcentral is "tRNA-Thr". The record is from RNAcentral. Lineage: Eukaryota; Metazoa; Mollusca; Bivalvia; Unionida; Unionidae.